CUGGAAUAUUUUCAGGAGUCAAGGGAGGUUCCAAGCAUGAAAGAUGGAAACUGCAAGGACAUCCCUCGCAACAAAUAAAAAGACCUCUUCCUCCGCAUGCACUACAAUAGUCGACGUUGCGUAUAGUCGCUUUUCGUCUCCGUCGCUUUACAGGAGUUUGUUGAGAUUCGGUUUCGAGAUGACUUUUUAGGGAACUACCCCGGCUUUUUUGAAUAGGUGCUUUAUUUGGAGAUUUAUUCGAAUAACUAGCUUUUUGUUUUUUCACUGGAGAACUUAUAUCCAUCUCUUUGUCUUGGCUAAUUGGCAAGACAUUUACAUGGUCAGUUGAAGAGUGAGUUGAUGAUGUUAAAGAAUUAUUUUUAAAAUUAGAAGGGGGACCUUCAUUUACGAAAGAGUCGCCAUGACUAUUAUUAGAAAUUGAAGGUACUGUAGGUUGAGAUGAAUUGUUUAUAGAGGAUGCCAUUAGAUACUUCCCAUGCUAUGAGCAAAGCAACAUGUAAUACGCGACGGUUAGCACUUAGAAAUAUC
Schizosaccharomyces pombe (fission yeast) is the source of this 528-nucleotide non-coding RNA. The record is from the annotation of a GenBank genome assembly. NCBI's taxonomy places the organism in Eukaryota, Fungi, Ascomycota, Schizosaccharomycetes, Schizosaccharomycetales, Schizosaccharomycetaceae.